AUUGAACGCUGGCGGCAGGCUUAACACAUGCAAGUCGAGCGAGGAAAGGUAGCUUGCUACCUGACCUAGCGGCGGACGGGUGAGUAAUGCUUAGGAAUCUGCCUAUUAGUGGGGGACAACAUCUCGAAAGGGAUGCUAAUACCGCAUACGUCCUACGAGAGAAAGCAGGGGACCUUCGGGCCUUGCGCUAAUAGAUGAGCCUAAGUCGGAUUAGCUAGUUGGUGGGGUAAAGGCCUACCAAGGCGACGAUCUGUAGCGGGUCUGAGAGGAUGAUCCGCCACACUGGGACUGAGACACGGCCCAGACUCCUACGGGAGGCAGCAGUGGGGAAUAUUGGACAAUGGGGGGAACCCUGAUCCAGCCAUGCCGCGUGUGUGAAGAAGGCCUUUUGGUUGUAAAGCACUUUAAGCGAGGAGGAGGCUACCGAGAUUAAUACUCUUGGAUAGUGGACGUUACUCGCAGAAUAAGCACCGGCUAACUCUGUGCCAGCCGCCGCGGUAA
RNAcentral lists this ribosomal RNA (501 nucleotides) under uncultured bacterium. RNAcentral's name for it is "partial 16S ribosomal RNA". It matches the Rfam family "Bacterial small subunit ribosomal RNA", at positions 30 to 523 of the family's 1533-position model. The record is from RNAcentral.